RNAcentral lists this ribosomal RNA (301 nucleotides) under uncultured beta proteobacterium. RNAcentral's name for it is "bacterial SSU rRNA". It matches the Rfam family "Bacterial small subunit ribosomal RNA", at positions 198 to 480 of the family's 1533-position model. Lineage: Bacteria; Pseudomonadati; Pseudomonadota; Betaproteobacteria. The record is from RNAcentral.
GGAGGAAAGCAGGGGAUCGCAAGACCUUGCGCUUUUGGAGCGGCCGAUGUCUGAUUAGCUAGUUGGUGAGGUAAAGGCUUACCAAGGCUUCGAUCAGUAGCUGGUCUGAGAGGACGACCAGCCACACUGGGACUGAGACACGGCCCAGACUCCUACGGGAGGCAGCAGUGGGGAAUUUUGGACAAUGGGGGAAACCCUGAUCCAGCCAUGCCGCGUGAGUGAAGAAGGCCUUCGGGUUGUAAAGCUCUUUCAGCCGGAACGAAAAGGUUACGGUUAAUACCCGUGACUAAUGACGGUACCG